GAUGAACGCUGGCGGCGUGCUUAACACAUGCAAGUCGAACGAUGAAGCCCAGCUUGCUGGGUGGAUUAGUGGCGAACGGGUGAGUAACACGUGAGUAACCUGCCCUUGACUCUGGGAUAAGCCCGGGAAACUGGGUCUAAUACCGGAUAGUAGCGCCUGUCGCAUGACGGGUGUUGGAAAGAUUUUUCGGUCAUGGAUGGACUCGCGGCCUAUCAGCUUGUUGGUGAGGUAAUGGCUCACCAAGGCGACGACGGGUAGCCGGCCUGAGAGGGUGACCGGCCACACUGGGACUGAGACACGGACCAGACUCCUACGGGAGGCAGCAGUGGGGAAUAUUGCACAAUGGGCGGAAGCCUGAUGCAGCGACGCCGCGUGAGGGAUGACGGCCUUCGGGUUGUAAACCUCUUUCAGUAGGGAAGAAGCGAAAGUGACGGUACCUGCAGAAGAAGCACCGGCUAACUACGUG
This 466-nucleotide ribosomal RNA is filed under the name uncultured bacterium. RNAcentral describes it as "partial 16S ribosomal RNA". It matches the Rfam family "Bacterial small subunit ribosomal RNA", at positions 28 to 507 of the family's 1533-position model. The record is from RNAcentral.